Molecule: ribosomal RNA, 534 nt
Filed under: Coniochaeta sp. 96.976
Lineage: Eukaryota; Fungi; Ascomycota; Sordariomycetes; Coniochaetales; Coniochaetaceae
Description: LSU rRNA
Rfam family: Eukaryotic large subunit ribosomal RNA
Source: RNAcentral
GGCAACAGCUCAAAUUUGAAAUCUGGCCUCACGGUCCGAGUUGUAAUUUGUAGAGGAUGUUUCGGGUGUGGUCCGGUCUAAGUUCCUUGGAACAGGACGUCAUAGAGGGUGAGAAUCCCGUAUGUGACCGGGUGCCUAAGCUCAUGUGAAACUCCUUCGACGAGUCGAGUUGUUUGGGAAUGCAGCUCAAAAUGGGUGGUAAAUUUCAUCUAAAGCUAAAUACUGGCCAGAGACCGAUAGCGCACAAGUAGAGUGAUCGAAAGAUGAAAAGCACUUUGGAAAGAGAGUUAAACAGCACGUGAAAUUGUUGAAAGGGAAGCGUUUACAAUCAGACUUGCGCGCGGCCGAUCAUCCGGUGUUCUCACCGGUGCACUCGGUCGCGCUCAGGCCAGCAUCAGUCUCGGUGGUUGGAUAAAGGCCGUGGGAACGUGGCUCCUCGGAGUGUUAUAGCCCACGGUGCCAUACAGCCUACCGGGACUGAGGACCGCGCUUCGGCUAGGAUGCUGGCGUAAUGGUUGUCAACGACCCGUCUUG